CGUAGGGGGCGAGCGUUGUCCGGAAUCAUUGGGCGUAAAGAGCUCGUAGGCGGCUCAGUAAGUCGGGUGUGAAACCCUCAGGCUCAACCUGGGGACGCCACCCGAUACUGCUGUGGCUAGAGUCCAGUAGGGGAGUGUGGAAUUCCCGGUGUAGCGGUGAAAUGCGCAGAUAUCGGGAGGAACACCAGCGGCGAAGGCGGCACUCUGGGCUGGAACUGACGCUGAGGAGCGAAAGCGUGGGUAGCAAACAGGAUUAGAUACCCUGGUAGUCCACGCCGUAAACGUUGGGCACUAGGUGUGGGGACCCUCCAACGGUUUCCGUGCCGUAGCUAACGCAUUAAGUGCCCCGCCUGGGGAGUACGGCCGCAAGGCUA
Molecule: ribosomal RNA, 374 nt
Filed under: uncultured organism
Description: bacterial SSU rRNA
Rfam family: Bacterial small subunit ribosomal RNA
Source: RNAcentral